Molecule: long non-coding RNA, 203 nt
Filed under: Mytilus galloprovincialis (Mediterranean mussel)
Lineage: Eukaryota; Metazoa; Mollusca; Bivalvia; Mytilida; Mytilidae
Source: RNAcentral
AUCUUCUAAUCAUAAAGUGAAUUGCAUUUAGUUUAAAGAAUUCAAAUGCAUGCCCACCAGGAGGGUUGACCAUGAAUCAUGAACAAUGAACCUCUCUUUUCAUGGUUCGUUCAUCAACUUUGAAAUGUCAUUAUAUAGUAGACACGAUCUUGAUCUAAAGAACUUUCAACUUAAUAGCUGAGUUAUAAUCAGCAAUGCAAGCA